CAGCAGCCGCGGUAAUACCAGCACCUCGAGUGGUCAGGAGGUUUAUUGGGCCUAAAGCAUCCGUAGCCGGUUGCAUAAGUUUUCGGUUAAAUCUAUGCGCUUAACGUAUAGGCCGCCGAAAAUACUGUGCAGCUAGGGAGUGGGAGAGGUACACGGUACUCGAUAGGAAGGGGUAAAAUCCUUUGAUCUAUUGAUGACCACCUGUGGCGAAGGCGGUGUACCAGAACACGUUCGACGGUGAGGGAUGAAAGCUGGGGGAGCAAACCGGAUUAGAUACCCCUGUAGUCCCUGUCUCUUAUAC
RNAcentral lists this ribosomal RNA (301 nucleotides) under uncultured bacterium. RNAcentral's name for it is "partial 16S ribosomal RNA". It matches the Rfam family "Archaeal small subunit ribosomal RNA", at positions 459 to 760 of the family's 1478-position model. The record is from RNAcentral.